This 358-nucleotide ribosomal RNA is filed under the name Haptophyta environmental samples. RNAcentral's name for it is "SSU rRNA". It matches the Rfam family "Eukaryotic small subunit ribosomal RNA", at positions 595 to 957 of the family's 1831-position model. Lineage: Eukaryota; Haptophyta. The record is from RNAcentral.
UAGCGUAUAUUAAAGUUGUUGCAGUUAGAACGCUCGUAGUCGGAUUUCGGGGCGGGCCGACCGGUCUGCCGAUGGGUACGCACUGGUCGGCGCGUCCUUCCUUCCGGAGACCGCGCCUACUCUUAACUGAGCGGGUUCGGGAGACGGAUCGUUUACUUUGAAAAAAUCAGAGUGUUUCAAGCAGGCAGCUCGCUCUUGCAUGGAUUAGCAUGGGAUAAUGAAAUAGGACUUUGGUGCUAUUUUGUUGGUUUCGAACACCGAAGUAAUGAUUAAAAGGGACAGUCAGGGGCACUCGUAUUCCGCCGAGAGAGGUGAAAUUCUCAGACCAGCGGAAGACGAACCACUGCGAAAGCAUUUG